Gossypium arboreum is the source of this 105-nucleotide non-coding RNA. The record is from Rfam. Lineage: Eukaryota; Viridiplantae; Streptophyta; Magnoliopsida; Malvales; Malvaceae.
UGUUAAAAAUUUUAUCUAUUUCUACUGUUAAAAAUUAGUGUGGCUACCUCAUUCUGACGUAUAAGGACCAGUUUUUAACAGUAGAGAUGGAUAAAUUUUUUAAUA